UACGUAGGGGGCAAGCGUUGUCCGGAAUUAUUGGGCGUAAAGAGCGUGUAGGCGGUCCGGUAAGUCAGCUGUGAAAGUCAAGGGCUCAACCCUUGAAUGCCGGUUGAUACUGUCGGGCUAGAGUCCGGAAGAGGCGAGUGGAAUUCCCGGUGUAGCGGUGAAAUGCGCAGAUAUCGGGAGGAACACCAAUGGCGAAGGCAGCUCGCUGGGACGGUACUGACGCUGAGACGUGAAAGCGUGGGGAGCAAACAGG
This 253-nucleotide ribosomal RNA is filed under the name uncultured bacterium. RNAcentral describes it as "partial 16S ribosomal RNA". It matches the Rfam family "Bacterial small subunit ribosomal RNA", at positions 524 to 776 of the family's 1533-position model. The record is from RNAcentral.